AGAACGAACGCUGGCGGCAUGCCUAAUACAUGCAAGUCGAACGAACACUUCGGUGUUAGUGGCGCACGGGUGCGUAACGCGUGGGAAUCUGCCCUUGGGUUCGGAAUAACAGUUGGAAACGACUGCUAAUACCGGAUGAUGACGAAAGUCCAAAGAUUUAUCGCCCAGGGAUGAGCCCGCGUAGGAUUAGCUAGUUGGUGAGGUAAAGGCUCACCAAGGCGACGAUCCUUAGCUGGUCUGAGAGGAUGAUCAGCCACACUGGGACUGAGACACGGCCCAGACUCCUACGGGAGCAGCAGUAGGGAAUAUUGGACAAUGGGCGCAAGCCUGACUCCAGCAA
RNAcentral lists this ribosomal RNA (340 nucleotides) under uncultured soil bacterium. Its description in RNAcentral is "bacterial SSU rRNA". It matches the Rfam family "Bacterial small subunit ribosomal RNA", at positions 26 to 394 of the family's 1533-position model. The record is from RNAcentral.